Stomoxys calcitrans (stable fly) is the source of this 676-nucleotide long non-coding RNA. RefSeq lists it as uncharacterized. The transcript is spliced from 2 exons. The record is from RefSeq and is a predicted model, not a curated record. Lineage: Eukaryota; Metazoa; Arthropoda; Insecta; Diptera; Muscidae.
ACUCGACUUUUAGAUCCCUAGUUUCACCAUGUCACCUGCAUUGUGAAAUCUUUAUACUCCAUCAUUUUCAAUUCUCUGGAUUAGCUAAUUCUUAUUUCCAGACGUUGAAAUACCCAGCUCCCUGUAUUUCGCCUGCAAUUGCUUCAAGGAAUAAUGAAUGCAAAAUAAGUGGUCUACAAAAGGUUGAUAGACUCAAUUCAUGACCAUCCAAAUUUGGCAAAAAAAUCCAAAUUGUAGCUAAGGGUAGGCAACAUCUCGAGAAAAAAUGAGGCCAAAUCGUGGAGAAAUGUAAGAAACGGCCAAUUGCAGCUUUGGUGGUACCGUGGCGGGCAUGAGCCCUUUGAAAAUUUCCUCAAAUCAUGUCAUAUCAAUUAAAGUAAAAGCAAUUUAUUAUCGUUAAAACAGCUUGGUCGCUGUUUUGGAGCCGUGGGCUAGCGGACCGUGGACGUAGCAACAAGACUCGGCACCGCGCUUUAUCACGUGUAAACCAAGAAUGGCUAAAAAAUCAUGUUCCGUACUUCAUUUGGUACACAGUCUGGCUCUCCAAUUCUAUAAUUUCUCUGCGAAUACGAAAGCAAUGUUACCAUGCUUUUUUUUAUUUAUAAAUUCACGUUUGUUUCCAAAAAUUUCAAUAAAUUCAUAUUUUUUACAAAAGCCGGCUAGAUGUUAAUUGUCA